AGAGACCACCACAGCCUGUGAGAGUCUCCAGUGGACAACGGUUGUCUGAUUGAGACUCUUCCUGGUGUGCUCAGAAAAACCUGUACUUUUUUUGUUUCAAUUAGUUUUAUAGACAUUUCAAGCUGGGGCCUGCAUUUUUUUGUGCAACCCUGGGGUUCAACAAUUUGAAACUGCUUCACACCAAGAGCAGAGAAACUCGCUCUGUGGUUAUCACCUCAGAGAGACACAAUACCCAAAACCUGAGAACAUUCGCCUUGUUUUGUUGGAGUCAACACAUCUGCCAGGUUAUCUGUCUUCAGUCAACAUGGCUCAUAGAAAUCCAUGCUGAAUUAUUUUUUAGGAAGUUCGGUUUUGUUGACGAUGGAGUUAAAUGUUAUUCGUGUUAAAGUGAGUCUUUAAGAAGAUGGCCGGCUGUGUUUCUACAUAGUUUUGACAUCUGUCUUCAUUUCUCAUUUUUCCUCUAAGAUGUUCUGCACAUAUUUGUCAAUUUCUGUGGUCUGACUCAGAGCACAGGAAGUGUGGAGGAGCUUGACCGGAGAAAGAGGCUGAGAACUGCUUCUCUUACCAAGGACCUUCCCCAAGCCAGGCAUCUCCGGAGAUGGUAUGGAGCCUGGGGUAGCUCGGCCAGGCCUUUGAUCACCAGCGAUGCCAUUGCUCUUCCCCGUUUCGCGUCUGCUGUGGCUUGCUGCUGAGGCUGCUUUCAGACCUCUGGAAUCAGAAAAGGAGGUGACUAUAUCAGCCCUUGGGGAUCCUGUAAUGAGAAUCAUGUGUAAACGGAACGUUGACGAAGCCACACCUGGGGCACAUUGGACCCACGACAGACACUGAUGUGGGAAAAGAGCCGGUACCUUUUGAACCUGACCCAUUUUAUGAGAAGAUGCAUAUCAAAACAAACAAACAAAGCAACAACAAGAACACUGUGGAGUCUAAGAUUGAGGUGUGGUGUCUUGAACAAAAGACAAAAGACUCAGCCACGCUUAUGCUAAGAAGGAGAGCCAGGGAAAGAAAAUGCUGCAGUCGCAGUCAGAAGGAAAAGACUGUUUCACUUUGGCUUCAUGUGCAUCCCCCAGAGGGACUAUCAUGUUACUUUCAAAAUGACUGCAUAGCAGAUGAAAAAUGAUUCUCAUCUGCCUAUGGCUGCUGGGAGGUGGAGUGCAGUGCGGGACUCCUAUGGGGAUAUUUGUGGCUCCUCACGUCUCCUGGACCCAGGGUACCAGGACAGUGGACAUAAGGGACAAUAAAGCUUAUU
This 1249-nucleotide long non-coding RNA is filed under the name Homo sapiens (human). Its description in RNAcentral is "non-protein coding lnc-GAS1-4:6". Lineage: Eukaryota; Metazoa; Chordata; Mammalia; Primates; Hominidae. The record is from RNAcentral.